AAGCCAGCCAAUUUACUUGAUGUGUUUCUGCAGAAAUUUAGAAACAGCUGGCAAAAGUGAUGCCAAGUCUUAAGGUCAAUUGAAGUCAUUACUGUCCCUCAAAAUGGCAACAAUA
This 115-nucleotide small nucleolar RNA is filed under the name Jaculus jaculus (lesser Egyptian jerboa). Its description in RNAcentral is "Small nucleolar RNA SNORA33 (ENSJJAG00000009988.1)". The record is from RNAcentral. Lineage: Eukaryota; Metazoa; Chordata; Mammalia; Rodentia; Dipodidae.